This 253-nucleotide ribosomal RNA is filed under the name uncultured bacterium. RNAcentral's name for it is "partial 16S ribosomal RNA". It matches the Rfam family "Bacterial small subunit ribosomal RNA", at positions 524 to 776 of the family's 1533-position model. The record is from RNAcentral.
UACGUAGGGCGCAAGCGUUAUCCGGAAUUAUUGGGCGUAAAGAGCUCGUAGGUGGUUUGUCGCGUUGUCCGUGAAAACUCACAACUCAAUUGUGGGCGUGCGGGCGAUACGGGCAGACUGGAGUACUGCAGGGGAGACUGGAAUUCCUGGUGUAGCGGUGAAAUGCGCAGAUAUCAGGAGGAACACCGGUGGCGAAGGCGGAUCUCUGGGCCAUUACUGACGCUGAGGAGCGAAAGCGUGGGGAGCGAACAGG